This 253-nucleotide ribosomal RNA is filed under the name uncultured bacterium. RNAcentral describes it as "partial 16S ribosomal RNA". It matches the Rfam family "Bacterial small subunit ribosomal RNA", at positions 524 to 776 of the family's 1533-position model. The record is from RNAcentral.
UACGUAGGGUGCGAGCGUUAAUCGGAAUUACUGGGCGUAAAGCGCGCGUAGGUGGUUGUGUAAGUCGAGUGUGAAAGCCCCGGGCUCAACCUGGGAACUGCAUUCGAGACUGCAUUACUAGAGUAUGGGAGAGGGCAGUGGAAUUUCAGGUGUAGCGGUGAAAUGCGUAGAUAUCUGAAGGAACAUCAGUGGCGAAAGCGACUGCCUGGCCCAAUACUGACGCUCAUGUGCGAAAGCGUGGGGAGCAAACAGG